UUUUCCUACGGGAGGCAGCAGUGGGGAAUAUUGCGCAAUGGGGGAAACCCUGACGCAGCAACGCCGCGUGCGGGAUGAAGGCUUUCGGGUUGUAAACCGCUUUCAGCAGGGAAGAUAAUGACGGUACCUGCAGAAGAAGCCCCGGCUAACUACGUGCCAGCAGCCGCGGUAAUACGUAGGGGGCAAGCGUUAUCCGGAUUUACUGGGUGUAAAGGGAGCGUAGACGGCGCGGCAAGUCUGAAGUGAAAGGCAGGGGCUUAACCCCUGAACUGCUUUGGAAACUGCCAUGCUAGAGUGCUGGAGAG
RNAcentral lists this ribosomal RNA (305 nucleotides) under uncultured bacterium. RNAcentral's name for it is "bacterial SSU rRNA". It matches the Rfam family "Bacterial small subunit ribosomal RNA", at positions 334 to 656 of the family's 1533-position model. The record is from RNAcentral.